CAAUGAAACACUGGUUCCCAUACGAUCACCAAAGUUAAGCAACAUUGAGUCUGGUCAGAAUCUCAAUGGGAGACUGCUUGGGAAUAACAGGUGCUGUAA
Acanthosepion pharaonis is the source of this 99-nucleotide non-coding RNA. The record is from the annotation of a GenBank genome assembly. NCBI's taxonomy places the organism in Eukaryota, Metazoa, Mollusca, Cephalopoda, Sepiida, Sepiidae.